GCUUGAGGGAAAAAGAAAACCCAAACAGGAGAUUGCCUCAGUAACGGCGAGUGAAGCCGGCAACAGCUCAAAAUUUGAAACCUGCCAACAGGCCGGAUUGUAAUUUGUAGAGGAUGCUUUUGGGGUAGGCACUGAUCUAAGUUUCUUGGAACAGUACGUCACAGAGGGUGAGAAUCCCGUUCGUGGUCGGUUGCCUGCUCCGUGUAAAGCUCCUUCGACGAGUCGAGUUGUUUGGGAAUGCAGCUCAAAAUGGGUGGUAAAUUUCAUCUAAAGCUAAAUAUUGGCCAGAGACCGAUAGCGCACAAGUAGAGUGAUCGAAAGAUGAAAAGCACUUUGGAAAGAGAGUUAAACAGCACGUGAAAUUGUUGAAAGGGAAGCGCUUGCAAUCAGACUUGCGCGUAGGUAAUCAAGGGCGGUUCGCUGCCCUGCACUUGCCUGCGCUCAGGCCAGCAUCAGUUCUGGGGGUGGGAGAAAGGCCGUUGGAAUGUGGCUCUUCGGAGUGUUAUAGCCUUCGGUGCCAUGCUGCCUCCCGGGACUGAGGACCGCGCUUCGGCUAGGAUGCUGGCGUAAUGAUUGUAAGCGACCCGUCUUGAAACACGGACCAAGGAGUCUAACAUCUAUGCGAGUGUUUGGGUGUCAAACCCACACGCGGAAUGAAAGUGAACGGAGGUGAGAACCCUUGAGGGUGCAUCAUCGACCGAUCCUGAUGUCUUCGGAUGGAUUUGAGUAUGAGCAUAGCUGUUGGGACCCGAAAGAUGGUGAACUAUGCCCUGAAUAGGGUGAAGCCAGAGGAAACUCUGGUGGAGGCUCGCAGCGGUUCUGACGUGCAAAUCGAUCGUCAAUAUUUGGCAUAGAGCGAAAGAC
This 864-nucleotide ribosomal RNA is filed under the name Pilidium acerinum. Its description in RNAcentral is "LSU rRNA". It matches the Rfam family "Eukaryotic large subunit ribosomal RNA", at positions 45 to 931 of the family's 3401-position model. Lineage: Eukaryota; Fungi; Ascomycota; Leotiomycetes; Chaetomellales; Chaetomellaceae. The record is from RNAcentral.